Molecule: ribosomal RNA, 739 nt
Filed under: Salmonella enterica
Lineage: Bacteria; Pseudomonadati; Pseudomonadota; Gammaproteobacteria; Enterobacterales; Enterobacteriaceae
Description: partial 23S ribosomal RNA
Source: RNAcentral
GGUUAAGCGACUAAGCGUACACGGUGGAUGCCCUGGCAGUCAGAGGCGAUGAAGGGCGUGCUAAUCUGCGAUAAGCGCCGGUAAGGUGAUAUGAACCGUUAUAACCGGCGAUACCCGAAUGGGGAAACCCAGUGUGAYUCGUCACACUAUCAUUAACUGAAUCCAUAGGUUAAUGAGGCGAACCGGGGGAACUGAAACAUCUAAGUACCCCGAGGAAAAGAAAUCAACCGAGAUCCUGUCUGAAUAUGGGGGGACCAUCCUCCAAGGCUAAAUACUCCUGACUGACCGAUAGUGAACCAGUACCGUGAGGGAAAGGCGAAAAGAACCCCGGCGAGGGGAGUGAAAAAGAACCUGAAACCGUGUACGUACAAGCAGUGGGAGCCCCACCACCAAAGCAUUCUCUGGUGUUGAAGGCCCUGCAAAGCAGCAUCGCGGUGGCGGAGCGUCGUUUGCGACGCCCAACACACAAAACAAGCGGUGAGUGCUUUGGGGUGGGGUGACUGCGUACCUUUUGUAUAAUGGGUCAGCGACUUAUAUUCUGUAGCAAGGUUAACCGAAUAGGGGAGCCGGAGGGAAACCGAGUCUUAAUUGGGCGUUAAGUUGCAGGGUAUAGACCCGAAACCCGGUGAUCUAGCCAUGGGCAGGUUGAAGGUUGGGUAACACUAACUGGAGGACCGAACCGACUAAUGUUGAAAAAUUAGCGGAUGACCUGUGGCUGGGGGUGAAAGGCCAAUCAAAC